GCCCUCAUAGCUCAGAUGGUAGAGCGUGCCCUUGGUAAGGGCAAGGUCAUGGGUUCGAUUCCCAUUGAGGGCU
Molecule: transfer RNA, 73 nt
Filed under: Anaerolineaceae bacterium
Lineage: Bacteria; Bacillati; Chloroflexota; Anaerolineae; Anaerolineales; Anaerolineaceae
Also listed under: 1 other name
Description: tRNA-Thr
Rfam family: tRNA
About the family: Transfer RNA (tRNA) molecules are approximately 80 nucleotides in length. Their secondary structure includes four short double-helical elements and three loops (D, anti-codon, and T loops). Further hydrogen bonds mediate the characteristic L-shaped molecular structure. tRNAs have two regions of fundamental functional importance: the anti-codon, which is responsible for specific mRNA codon recognition, and the 3' end, to which the tRNAs corresponding amino acid is attached (by aminoacyl-tRNA synthetases). tRNAs cope with the degeneracy of the genetic code in two manners: having more than one tRNA (with a specific anti-codon) for a particular amino acid; and 'wobble' base-pairing, i.e. permitting non-standard base-pairing at the 3rd anti-codon position.
Source: RNAcentral